AAGGAAGAGAAUAAAAUACUCCUCUCUUUUUAACUGCCAAAUACAGCUUUCUAUAAACAAUUUUAAGGCCAGGUUAACAAAUACAUAGACACGCACACAAACACAAUUUCAAACUGAUGCUUGCACCAGUCAAGGCCACCUACCAGGAAAAUCAC
Long non-coding RNA from Perognathus longimembris pacificus (Pacific pocket mouse), 155 nucleotides. RefSeq lists it as uncharacterized. The transcript is spliced from 3 exons. NCBI's taxonomy places the organism in Eukaryota, Metazoa, Chordata, Mammalia, Rodentia, Heteromyidae. The record is from RefSeq and is a predicted model, not a curated record.